UGGGGAAUAUUGCACAAUGGAGGGAACUCUGAUGCAGCGACGCCGCGUGAACGAAGAAGGCUUUCGAGUCGUAAAGUUCUUUUAUAUGGGAAGUUAAUGACGGUACCAUAAGAAAAAGCCCCGGCUAACUACGUGCCAGCAGCCGCGGUAAUACGUAGGGGGCUAGCGUUGUCCGGAAUCACUGGGCGUAAAGGGUUCGCAGGCGGAAAUGCAAGUCAGGUGUAAAAGGCAGUAGCUUAACUACUGUAAGCAUUUGAAACUGCAUAUCUUGAGAAGAGUAGAGGUAAGUGGAAUUUUUAGUGUAGCGGUGAAAUGCGUAGAUAUUAAAAAGAAUACCGGUGGCGAAGGCGACUUACUGGGCUCAUUCUGACGCUGAGGAACGAAAGCGUGGGUAGCAAACAGG
RNAcentral lists this ribosomal RNA (403 nucleotides) under bacterium. RNAcentral describes it as "partial 16S ribosomal RNA". It matches the Rfam family "Bacterial small subunit ribosomal RNA", at positions 355 to 776 of the family's 1533-position model. The record is from RNAcentral. RNAcentral also lists the same sequence under 2 other names.